Long non-coding RNA from Polypterus senegalus (gray bichir), 663 nucleotides. RefSeq lists it as uncharacterized. The transcript has 3 exons. Lineage: Eukaryota; Metazoa; Chordata; Cladistia; Polypteriformes; Polypteridae. The record is from RefSeq and is a predicted model, not a curated record.
UAACAGUAAAUUCGGUUGGUUUUUGGAACGUUGGUUUGGUGGGGGAUACUUUCCAUGACUAACUUAAACCUUUCGACAGCUCCGGAACCAGGGCGGAGUCUAUCUCGACACCAUCAAGGAAGGAGCACCCGAGUACCAUUCGUCAGUCAAGCCACAGUCCAGUCGGGCAAAUCCACAUAGCUCGAACACCUUUGGAAAAAAAUUAAGUACUGGAGAAAUCCGACCAACAGGCUCCAUCUCUGCCAGAAUGGAGGAUUGUCAGCCAUUCCACCUCUGCCAUCACUUCCAUUGUCUGCCCUUCUGGACCCACCCCUUUCUGCCUGGAAGCUAUAUGUCCAGCAUUUCAGCCUUGCUGAGACAUUUCUACUAGGAACCCUGGCCUGGAAAGACUACUCUGCAUUUAUUAUGUGCUUUCUUUCUUUGUUAUUUUUUUCACUCUAUUUAUACAGAAUCACCUGAGUGGUGCCCCAACCCUCUCAUGUUUGUCUGUCCCCUUUUAUAAUAUACAAUAUAUAUAACACUAACACUCAGUCUUUUUGCUUGACAUAACACAUUUUUUGCACCCUCAUGCACUAUCUUCUAUUUUUUGCCAGCAACAGUUAAACCCCAAAUCUGAAUAAUCUUGACUAAUCUGUCAAGUGAUUCUUCAAUUUACCUCACAAU